This 8547-nucleotide long non-coding RNA is filed under the name Brassica napus (rape). RNAcentral's name for it is "long non-coding RNA (BNAP_LNC019735)". The record is from RNAcentral. Lineage: Eukaryota; Viridiplantae; Streptophyta; Magnoliopsida; Brassicales; Brassicaceae.
UGGGAUCCAACAUUAGUAGGUGUAAAAUGACACUGAUGGCUCUAUUAGUCCUUUUGUUAUGUUAAGAGGCAAACGCAUUCUAUAGAAAUGAUUUUCGUAUGCAAAAAAUAGUAGAUUCCACUCUUCAAGAAAUAUUAUUUUAUUCAAAAUAUUAUUAUGUUUUCUCUCUUCCUCUUGCUUUACCUUUCUCUCAUUUUCUCAAUUUUCUUCAUUAGCUUUCAUAACCUUCUUCUUUCAACGCUACAUCUCCUUACAAAAUUCUUUGUUCUCUCUUUGUGAUUUGUCCUCUCUUGUUCACAUGCAUUCAAGAAUUAACCGGCGCUACGAUGGUGAAGAUGCAACAUCUCCUCUCACCAUAAAACUCCCCCCCCCCAAAUCGCUUCUUCCUCAAACCUUAGGAUUUUGAGCGAAAUCAAAGAUUAGGAUUACAUUAACUCAUAGUCUCACAUCACAUUAUUGUUCUGUACUUUCAAUGGAAACGUUCUUUAUCCAGUUCGUCUCGCUAUCUCCAUGGAGAUCCAUUGGGUAUGAAAAGAUAAUAUAAUAAUUAGUCAGCUAACAUUAGGUCAGCGACUGGUGUAGAUUCAGUGUGAAGGAUUUGGUUACAACCAUUCCGCAUGUACAAUACGGUUAUAGAGAAUUUCCUCGACACUAAUAUUAGGCGUACGGAUUAUUGGAUGUAUAAAGAUUCAUAUAUUCGGCUAAACUUAAUAUUAGCUAUGAUUUAAAUAACUGUUGGCUGGAUAAAAUAUUUUAAGUAUAGUUAACACUUUUAUUAGCUGUCGUUUUAAAAAAUCGUACAAAUUGGAUAAUCCUCGAAAACAAUAAUACACUAAUAUUUACUAUUAUUAUCAUAUGUAAUCUGUUCACAUAGCUUGCUAACAACGUUAUCCAUCCUGUUUAAUAAAAUAUGUAACCGUCUAUUAUAUUUGGUGCUCAUAUAGCUUGCUAACAAAAUAUGUAGCAAAAUAUGUAACUGUCGAAUGACCCACUUGGCUACAUUGCACGAUUAAAAUAUUUGGGGUUGAUUCGCGAGGAUGUUCUGUAAAUCUAAAAUGUUGGGGGUCAAAUUGAAAAGAACUAGAACGCUAGGGACCUAUCGUUCAAAAACAUAGAAAGUCACCAUUGGAUAGAUCAACCUUUCUCUUCGCCGGAUUUUGAGCUUGAUGGAGAUGACAAGGAGGAGCAUGAUGGCAAGUCUUGAAUUCGGAGCAUGACGACGUCGGUAGAUCAAAGCGACUAAAUAUCCGGUGACGAAGGAGAAUAGGAAAUCAGGUGGACUUACAAACAGAGCGGAGAACAGGGAAUCGGGUGGGACUUCAUAAUCUUUUAACUAAGAGUUUGACGGAGAAAACAAUGUGGAUUUUUUUAGAUGAAAAAAAGAUGUAAGAGAAGAAGAACUGAAGAGUAUUGAUUAGUGUGAACAUGCAACAACUCUUUGUUGUAUAUGUCGCUUAUUAUAGGUUAGGUAGGUGUUUAGUAGACCAAUAUAAUAUAGGUUGUAUUGUAGCAAGAAUAGGGAUAGAAAUGUCAUUUAAAAAAAACACAUCAGCAAGAAAAACCAACUUCCAUCUGUGCAAAUUAUGGGGUUAUGUUUGUAGACGGAGUGCAGUUACUAUAAAUUUUAAACCCUACACUCUAAACUCUAAAUCAUAAACCUCCAUCCACAAAAAAACUAAAUCAUAAUUCUCAACCAAUUAACCUUAGUGGUAUGUAUAUAUUUAUAUAUUUUAAUGAAUGCUAGUAUGAUCAUUUUUCUUUUUUAUCUGUGUUAUUUUUAUGUCAUUAUGGCGGUAUUUCUCUUGUUUUAUUAUUCAAAAAUAUAAUUUUAUAUAUAGUUUAUUUAUUAAUUUAAACUUAUCUUGCAUUUUUACGGUCUUAAUAUUUUAUAAAUAAAAUGAUCUAAUUUUUUUUUCAAUCUGUCUUUUACUUGAUAUAUAUUUUACGUAUUUGAUCGUACAAUAAGCAAAAUAGUAAUCAUAUAAAAAUCAAUAAAAAUAUAAUUAUCAUUUAUUAGAAAUGGAUAUAUUAAAUAUCAUAUUUUCAUUUUCAUUAUGUAUAUUAAUUGAAUUAAUAAUAAUUUAAUACUAAAUACAAAUUAUGUAAUUAAUUAAAAGUACAUAUUAAAAUUAUUAAUAUAAUUCAAAGACAUAUUCAUUCAAAAUUUCCAAUAGAUUUUGAAAUAUUUUUAUUAAGAUAAAAUGUAUAAAAAUAUUAGAGUAUCUUUUUAUUAAAUUUGAAACGAAAAAUAUUCAAAUUUUACAUAGCCGGAUUAUCAUGAUAAUAUCUUUACUUUUUUCAAAAUGGAUAGUUACAUGGACAAGUACAAGUAGGAUAAUGUGAGAGGGAAGUGUUGCCAUAACUUCACAACAAAUUGUAUGGUAUGUUGUAGGCUUGUAUUUAGAUAGUAAUUCAAAAGACAUUUAUGGAGUAUAUAUGUGUAAAAAUAAUUUAUAUGGAGUUCUAAUUUAUGCAUUGUGGUUCUAGUUUAAAUAUGCAUAUCAUUGUUAUUUGAACAUCAAAAUUUGGUUUUUGGUGAUUCUAAUUUAUGCAUUAUUAUUGUUUGCAAUUGCAUAGUUGGCAGCAAUAAAGUGAAUGUCAAAUGUCUGAAUGGUUCUGUUGCAGGCUGGGAUCCAGACUACUCAAUGGCUAGACUGAGAUUCAAGAGAUCGGACUGGACAGGACGAACGAAUGGAAAAGGGAGCGGCUAGAUGGAUGCGAUGGAGAGAGGAUCGGCCGGUUUGUACCUGAAAUAAGAGAGAAUGAUUUUUAUGAGUUUUUUUAUGGAUUAAAAAUGAAGAACAUAAAGUAAAUUAACUGAGAAAUAAAGAACAAAAAUAAAUAUGAAUUUUUAUGGGUUUUUAUUUUAAUGGCCGAUCUGAAAUAAAAGAUGCAAUGAAACAAAAACAAGAGAAGGAUAGAGAUGGCUGAUGGAUUCAAGUUGCUGGACGUGUGUCUCUCUCAACAAGAACAGGGGAUGGAGAUGGCGUGAAGAUGGGAUCUGGCUUGCUGGACUGAAGUCUCUCUCAAGAUGGAUCGGUGGAUGGUAUGGCAUGAGGAAUCGCCACAAGCUUGGUGGUGGAAAGCUUGAUGAGAUUCGAGAUUGCUUCUAGCCAAAUCGCUCAACAAGAAGACUUAAGAAUUUUCUUUGCUCUAGGGGCAAACCGACUCAUAUAUUUCAUGAACUAAAAAAAUUACAAGGCUGCUUAUAGUGGGGAUUAAAUACCCUGCUGCUAUGCCCUUCUAGGGGACUUUGAAGCAAAUCAACAUGGACUCUCUUGGACUCUAAAAAUCGACAAGGCCUAGACAAGAAUGGGCCGACUCUUCUUGGACAACUAAAGCAAAGGCUAAACAAAUGGCUUUGAAUUAUUGGACUCAAAUAAAUAAAAAGGACUUAAACAAUUUGCCCAUAAGUUCAUGCAAUUGAAAUUAAAAGAAAGAACCAACACAAACCAAAAACAAUAAACCGGUUAGAAAUCAUAAAUGAAAUCUUACCUUCUUACCUUAAAUGGAAUGAGGCGGAUUACUCAGAACCGGCUGGGAUUGGGACAGGGUCUGAACCGAGAUCACAUGUAGAGAUGGUUAGGCCGGUUCGGUUCUGGGCGAGUGAUCUGAAUUGGAUUGGACCGGCUUGAUCUUGAACCUCUAUUGGACCGGCUUGAUCUUGAAUCUUCAAUUGGAUCAUCUCUUCAAUUAGUAACUCUUCCUGACCGGUUUGAACAUUUUGAUCAAGGAUUUGUUGGACAGCUUUAGAGAAACCGAGUCUUAUGGCCCUGGCUCCACUCCGGGUAGUCGGACCACACCUAACCACGGGAACCUCUAUUUGGAUGGCCGCAUCAGGUUCGGAGAUUUUCGUAUUAAUAAUCAAACAUAUAAAAUAGUUUGGCAAUUACAAAAAGUAAAGAGAUUGUUUAAACAAGGUCAUCUAAACAAAGUCUUUUUGAUGGGAUUUAAGAUCGUCAAAAGGGGAUCUCCUCUCAAGAGAAGAGGUUGUCCAUGAUGAAUAUUUGUGGUGGUGGUCGAUGUUGACGAUCUCUAAAUGUAGAAUGUUUAUACGAUUAUGCUUUUGAAUGAAUAGUGAUAGUUUUUCACGUAAACACGAUUUGUCAGUCAACAAGGUAUAUUUUCUUAUAUAGGUUGGGCUUGGUUUUGGUUCUAACAUUCUAAUGAGUCGUGUGUUAGAAUAAUCUCCAACAACUAUGAUCAUUUGGAAUGUUGUAAAUACUGAAAGCAUUCUUGUAUAUUUUUCAGUGAGAACUCGAAUUAGUGAAAUAUUCCUAAGUGGUGAUGCAAUGCAAGGUAAUGUUUUCGGACAUAUUCUAGUAAAUGAUGAGGACCAUGAGGUUGGUUUCAUGGGAAGAAGUUAAUGAUAGUUAAGAUAUGUUAUUGGUGUCAAAAUAAUCUCCGAGCCCAGAAAAAAUUGAGAAGGCUCAAGCGGAGCUUGGGUAUUUAACAUUGAUACUCCUUUAUGCGAUGUUCAAAGUAAACACUUCAAUUUUCUAAAGCUAUCAGUUAACUCAAAUGUGUACCAAAGACACUUGUCUUAACACGCAGCAAGUAGAGUUGUUAACCAGUGUACCUCUCAGUUAGGUGAUUGUUGGUAGCCAUAAGUAUAGUCGGAAGAUUGUUCACGUCUUGAACGACCACAUAUGGAACCUCUUCCAACACACAUCAGUGACAGCAGAAUUAAAUAUGCAAUUUAUGGUCAACCAUAAAUUGUUUUCCUCUCUCAACUCCUCCAUUGUACUUUGAUUGCCAUAUUACCAAAUGUAAAAGAUAGAUGGGUUGGUGAAGUUUUUAAUAAGAUGAUUUAUGUGAAUAAAGUGUAACUUUUGGUUCAUGAAUGUAAAUAAUUCAAUUUCUUUUCCCAGUAUGUUUUUCAAUUUAACUUAAACUCUUGAUUAGUCUCUUCUAUUUAGUGGUAAUAGUUUAACUUAACAUUUUCUGGAAAAAUAACAGAAAAACGGUUAACACUUCCAAGAAUCUGAGAGAGAGAGAAUUCGACAAAGAGUUUCUCUUCAGUUUUCAACAACACAUUACAACAAGACAUAAAACAACCUAAAUAUGAUAAUUAAAAGUGAAAAGAAAAUGACUAAAAGAGAUCAAGGAUUUCUGAAAUGGAGGUGUUGCAUAGAGGACAGUUUCCUCUUUGAACCCAAAGCUCUCUCGAACACAACCUGCAGAACGUAUGACCACACGGUAUAAACGCUGCUCCUUUGCUUCUUACCAUACAAACACAACAACUUAUCUCCGCCGCCGCCGCAGUCUCCUCCACCACUCCUCUCUCCUCUUCCUCCCCGUCUCCUCCUACUUCUACCAAGCUCAUUUGCCCUUCGUUCUCAUCCAACAACUCCAUCAACGACAUCCUCGCCGGCUGCAUGUCUGUCGUCACCGGCGGCGUUUCCUCUUCCCUCGCUGAUAACGCUCUCUCCUCCGCCAACACCACUCCUAACUGUAACCUCCCCUCCGCCGUUACUCCGCCGCUGGAAGCAGACUCCGGUUGCGAUUGUCCUCCUUCGUUUCUGGAGUUGGAGAGUAGAGAACCGAGCUGGUGACUAUCACUAUUGCGUUUGAGGCGGAGCUUUUCGCGUAGAGACUUCCAAGCGGUCUUGUCUCGGUGGCUGCUGUAGUCGUGUCGGUGCUCUCUCUGCAUUACAUCAAGAAGUGUCCGAUUUGAUUGGUUCCUAGACGGCAGAGGCUGCGGCGGGGUUCCGUUUCUGUCGGCCAUUAGAAUAGCUUCGAGAGUCAACCCCGGUAACGAGCUCCGGCCAGUCUCCAUACAAUCUAGUAACGUCACUCUCAGCCUAUCACCACCGUCCAUUUGCAUCAUCUUUUACGGAGUCAAGAGAGAAUAUAGAAUGAGAUUGUGAACUGAAAAACGCAUAUUCAGGACAUAUGCUUUCUACAAGAUACAUGUGGCAAAGAAGCUACAUAUAUGCUGCAUCUAUUGAAACGCUAAAUUAAGCUAACAAUGAAGAAGGUUAAGAGAGAGAGAGAGAGAGAGUCAUACUUAUCCAGUGAACAAAGUGGGGCUCAGUGAAGUAACGGUAGAUCCAGUUUAGGAUGUACAAUCCCCUGUACCCACUGCAAGAAGAUGACAAUCAAGAGAAGUCAAAGGAAGAAGAAGCAAUAACACUAAUCAAAGAAAGCGAGCUUGUUGUACCCAAGGAGAAAAAUGUAUUGGCCAGUCAAGUUAUCGAUAUUUCUAGUCCUUUGCAGCAAGACAAGCUGAGGUAAUAUAGCAACAGCUUCCAAGUACAAUGAAAACGUCCAGAGCACCUCAAGAAAGGUGAACUUCUCGUGGAUGAGAAGAGCCAAGACAAGGCAAGGAAGCACAAGGAACCAGUGGCGAAACGUAUCCUGCUCCCUGUCGUAAGUCCUGUGGACAGCCUUAUGGUACCUCAUGUACCAGACAAUCGAAAAGGAGCUCCCUAAGAAGACCAGCUUCAUGAAGGUGUUGUAGACAGACACGAAGCUCGUGAAAAUGUCCAAGUAACGCGUAGCGAACACAAUGGCGUAGAGCUCUUGCGUCCUCAAUGACACACCUGCAAGUUAAUUAACCGUUACAAACGAAUCAUUCAGAUCAUACGGUCAACGUCAAUUUUAACCUAAACUUAUCAUCGGAAUGGGAAAUGAAGAUACCGGCGCAGGAUUUGAUGGUGUGGAUCUUGAGGAGCAAGACGAGAACACUGGCCAGGUGAGUCAUAUCACCUGCUAAUCUGAAAAUGUUCAUCUUCUUUCGAUCUCUCUCUUCUUCCUUCUCUACACCACAAUCCGGGUUCGGCUCGUGCUAAGAUAGAUCUCGUUGGUGCCGUUUCCACAAACUUCUUCUCCCGUGUUUUUGCUUUUUUUCCCUCUGGUAAUGAAAGCCCAUUACUUCUCGUUGUGGGCUUUGUUCUUUUGGGUAACGAUAUCUUAUUACCCUACCCGAUUUUAUCGGUUUCAUACCUAACCGGUGUGUAUUUUGAUUAACCGAAAAUAAAAUAUACUUGCGUUUUAUUACCUGCCUUGUAAAUCUUCAAAACACGGUUUCAAUAUCAAACAAUUCUAUCACUAUAACCUGUUUGAUUUUCUCUGUGUCAACUGGUUACAUAGCAUAAUUAAGAACAAACUGGAUUGCAAAAUGGCUAUAUCCUAUAUGUUGUGAAUAAUGUCGAAUAAAUCAAAAAUAAAAUUCAAACUACUAUGGCUGAAAUUCAUUAUCAUACUAGCUAGUUUGAAUCGAUUUUGAUCUGAUUUUACAUAUAGUCAAGCAGAUAUCUAGAUACAAAAGAUCUAAUCAGAAUAUCCUACAUCGAUAUAUUAAAUAAAAAAUACAGUUUUUACCCUAUACAAAAUAUGGCAAUUCUCCUAAAACACAAGUUUUUAUCAAACACACAAGAAAAUGAUCAAAAUGUCAUUCAGUGAAGAGCAAAAAAUACUAAGUAAUCUUAAUAAUAAUACAUUUAAUAUAGCUACAAAUAUAAAAAUAUUUUUAUUUUAAAUUUUAUACCAUAGAUGUUAGAGCCAUUUGCACAGAAAAUAGUCAAUAAUUAUGAAAUUUGCAAGGAUAGAAAAGGGUAGUGGAAUCCAACAUUAGUAGGUCUAAAAUACACUGAUGGCCCUAUUAUUCAUUUUGUUAUGUUAAGAGGCAAGAGAAUCCCGUAGAAAUGAUUUUCUUAUGCAAAAAAAAUAGUAGACCCCACUAUUCAAGAAAUAUUAUUUUAUUUAAAAUAUUAUUCUGUUUUCUUUCUUCUCUUGUUUUACUUUUCUCUCAUUUUCUCAAUUUUCUUUAUUAGCUUUCAUAAUCUUCUUAUUUCAACUAUAAUAUUUACUAUUAUUACCAUAUGUAAUCUGUUCACAUAGCUUGCUAACAACGUUAUCUAUCCCGUCUAAUAAAAUAUAUAACCGUCUAUUAUAUUUGGUGCUCAUAUAGCUUGCUAACAAAAUAUGAACCAUUUAAUAAAAUACGAGGGUGUCUAAUAAAAUAUGUAACUGUCGAAUGACCCACUUGGCUACAUCGCACGAUUGAAAGAUUUGGGGUUGAUUCGCGAGGAUGUUUCUGUAAGUCUAAAAUGUUUGGGGUCAAAUUGAAAAGAACUAGAACGCCAGGGACAUGUCGUGCAAAAAAAUAGAAAGUCACCAUUGGAUAGAUCAACCUUUCUCUUCGCCGGAUCUUGAGCUUGAUGGAGAUGGCAAGGAGGAGCACGAUGGCAGUGCUUGAAUCCGAGCAUGACGACGUCGGUAGAGCAAAGCGACUAAAGAUCCGGUGACGAAGGAGUACGCCGUGUAAAUUUUGCAGCGGUCUCGCGACGGUCUCGACGUAAACAUAGGUGGAAGGUGAAGCACCGUCGUGAAGGGAUAAGCUUGACGGCGUACAUUCUGACGCGGCAGUGGAUGGAAGAAGUCGGAGCUCAGGUUCAUGGCGAGUCGGAGGUGGUUGCAGAAGAGGACAAGUGAAUCGAUGUGAAUUUUAAAUGAUUUCCGAUGUAGAUAUAAAAGAAGGUUAAAAGUUUCAACGGAGAACACAUUGUGGACUUACAAACAUAGCGGAGAAUAGGGGAUCAG